UCCUUCCUUCCUUCCUUCCUCUUCUUUUUUCUCCCAUCCUUCCUUCCUCUGUUCCUUCCCUCCUCCUCCUCCUUCUCCUCUCCUCCUCCUUCUUCUCUCUCCCCUCCCUCUCUCCCUCUCUCUUUCUCUCACUAGAGUUAUCACUGGAACUCAGUGUCUGCAUGAGUCCAUCACUCCCUACAGUCUUCUCUCUUUCUUUUUGAUAGAGGGUAACAGACAGAGAGAAGAAGGAGAGAAAAUGAGGGACCGUGCGGCACUACUCCCCAUUUCUCUCAAAGUUUCCGACCUUCUAGGUCUUCCUGUGUAAUAGCCCUGGGGCUCGAACCUGGUUGCUCAGGCUAGGCAACUUGUGCACUCUACUGGAUGAACCACCAAACUGUCUCCUGAAACUUUCUUUCUCUCUCUCUUUCUUUCUUUCUUUCUUUCUUUCUUUCUUUCUUUCUUUCUUUCUUUCUUUCUUUCUUUCUUUCUUUUUGGCACCAGGGCUCUUGCUGGGGCUCAGUGCCUGUCCUAUCAAUUCACUGCUCCUGGCAGCUUUUUUCUUGUUCUUUUUAUUUGGGUAGGACACAGAGAAAAUGAAAGGGGCUGGGAAUUUAGGAUGAGAGAGACACCAGCAGUCUUUCUUCACUCUCCGUAAAGCUUCCCCUCUGCUGGUGGGGGCAGGGCCUGUGUUCUUGCUCUUGGUAAUGUGUGUGCUCAACCAAGGGCAACAUCAGCCAGACCCUGAAGAAAUUGAGAUGAUUUGCAAUAUAGCAUGAAACUGAGGGGGGAAAUGACAUCCAGUGAAGAAGGUCACUGAGGCUUGCUGUGUGCUUUGAAGCCUUACUAUGUUCUGGUUAUUGAUAAUUUUCAAAAAUACUUAUUAAUUUAAGAAAGAGAGAGAGAGAGAGAGAGAGAGAGAGAGGUGCCAGAGCAUAGCUUCCACACCUGUGGUGCUAAGGAUGAAACGUUAUAGACAGAAGGAAUCUAUUCUACUCACUCUGCUACCUCCCCGGUGGCCUGGAUAACACUUCUCAGCCUGUACACAGAUUUCACAGUGGGACCUGGAAGUGGCCAGGAGGGACCGGGACCCUUAAGGUGCUCCAAGCUCAACAAAGAAGAAGCUACAGUUCCAGGAAUGCUCAGGACAUGCCUCUUCUUCUGAGAGUCAGGAGGUGGGGGCCUGGGGCUUGAACGCAGCCCCUUGUACUUUGUAACGUGUGCGCUUAACCAGGUGCACCACCACUUGGCCCCAAGAGAUGAGUUUCUUAUCAUUAAAUAUGAUGCUGAUUUGUAGGGUGUUGUGUGUGUGUGUUUUUUGUGUGUGUGCCCUUUAUCAAGAUUCUCCUAUAUCCUCAUUUUACUGAGAGUUUAUACUAUGAAUAGGUGUUGGAUUUCCUCAAGUGUCUUUUCUGUAUGGACUGGUAUAAUCAUGUGAUGUGUCUCUUUUCGUCAGUUGAUGUGAUGAAUUAUAUUAAUUGAUUUUUGAUGUUGAAGCAGUGUUGACUGUAGAGUAUAGUUCCUUUUUAAUUUCUUUAUCAGGGGAUUAAUGGUUUACAGUUGACAGUAAAUACAAUACUAUGCACAUGUGUAACAUUUCCCAGUUUCCCGCAUAACAGUUCAACCCUCACUAGGUCCUCUGCCAUCGUGCUCCAGCACCUGAACCAGCUCCCCUCCCAGAGUCCUUUACGCUGGUAAGUUACCAACUCCAGCCCAAGUUCUGUUUAGUGUCUUCCCUUCUGACCUUAUGAUGAGUAUGAUUCUUUUAUAACCAGUUGGGAUUCACUUUGCUAAUAUUUUGUUGAAGAUUCUUACAUUUCUUUCAUUAAAGGCCUUCCUCUCUCUUUUUCUUUCUUCCUUUCUUCUUUUCUCUUUUUUUUCUUUUUAUUUUAGAUAAAGAUAGAUAGAUAGAAAUAGAGAGAAAGAGACUGAAAGAGACCAAAAUUCUCUUUAAGGUAGUGGGGUCAGUCUUAAACCUGGGUCGCUCACAUGGUAAAGGAGUCCACUGUCCAUCCAAGUGUUUUCUUUUUACUUCUCUAUUUUUCUUAUAAAGCUUUUUUUGGUUUUACUAUUGAAGGUAACGUUGGCCUCAAACAAUAAGCUGGGUAGUAUUCCCUCUACUGGAAUAAGAUUUUUUAACAACACAAUUUGGUAAGAAAUAAAUUUCAAACUGUCUUUUAAAACAGCACAUAUUGAAUUUCCUUCAGGAAAUGACAUAGAAUUUUAAUUCCAGGACUUUAGGUAAUAAUGUAUCUUAAAAACACCACAGCUAUAGUUACAAAACAUCUAUAUCCCUAGAUCUGAGCUCAUAUUCUGUGGUCAUGAGUAGGAACGUUCCAAGCCGCCCAAUUUCAGGACCCAUCUUCCUCAGGUGGUAGACAGAGUAUGUUGUUCAGCCUCCCUUAGGAGGAUGGAACAUUUUCUACCAUUGUUGAUCCACGUUGGGGGCAAAGUUCUAUAGAGGCCUCCAAAGGGAUCUAUUGUCUUGUUCCUGAUGGGGAUGACCAGUGGCAAUGUAGAGAGGGAUCUAUUCGAGGUCUAGGUUCAUUGUGUUUGUGUGGGAAUCCCAGGACUCCCUGAUUAGGGCCCCAGCUGAUGGGGUGGCCUGAUAGUGACUAAAGAGUCAUCCUUAAAGUAUGCCAGUCUCUUGCCCUAACUCAGCUUUUGCAGUCUUUACUUUCAUUAGGUUAGCUUUGGAGUGACUGGGGGAAGUGUGUGGUUGUCUUUCUAUCCUCCUCUCCUUUCUCCCUAUUUCUUUCUUUGAUAGGAGUUUGGGGGGGUAGAAAUGUUGAUUUGUCCUGACCCCCUUUUCUUCACAGCACCACAUCACUAGAUACAGACCAUCUCAACAGGGGCCAAAUUCCACUGGAUAAAUGAGUUUUCCCAUGAGAAUCCAAGAAGCAAGGUGCAAAACUCACAGGCAGAUGUAUAAACUCCCAGGCCCUAUGAGCUGAUGGGAUUCCAUUGCUCAACAAAGGAGGCUUCUUCUUCCAGCAUCCUGGUGUCUCUCAUCCUGGGAGAAUGGGCCUGGUGAGAUGCUAGAGGGAUGAGAUGAGGGGUGAGAUGCUCUACUUGCCUGUUAUAAAGAAGGGGAAGGUGGCCAGAGUAUUGCAGUAAGGUGGGUCUCUCAAGAAUAUUUAAGCUAUCAGGAACAACAAAAUAGACCCCUUUGUGGGCCCCCAUAGGACCUUGCCCUCAACUUGGAUCAACAAUGAUAGAGAGUGUUCCAUCCUCCAAAGGGAGGAUGGACAACAGACUCUAUGCCCCACCUGAGGAAGAUGGGUCCUGAUAUUGGGGCAGCUUGGAAUGUUCCUACUCAUGACCACAGAAUGUGAGCUCAGAUCUACAGGGAUGCAGAGGUCACACAGGCUCCUAAGCUAACUAUGGGGCCCAGAUCACAUCAAAUCAAUUGGGGUUUAUAGUCAACAAUAUUUAUACCACUUUCCCAUAUUUAGGAGCUACUCUCUUCCCUGAUCCAGAUUUCUGGUCCUUUUUCCAGCUAUGACAUCAUCUCCCCAGACAAUAAUUUGGAUCCACUGGCAUAUCAGAUUUCAGGCUCAGGGACAAAAAGAAAAAGGAAACACGCAC
Long non-coding RNA from Erinaceus europaeus (western European hedgehog), 3567 nucleotides. RefSeq lists it as uncharacterized. The record is from RefSeq and is a predicted model, not a curated record. The transcript has 3 exons. Lineage: Eukaryota; Metazoa; Chordata; Mammalia; Eulipotyphla; Erinaceidae.